RNAcentral lists this long non-coding RNA (203 nucleotides) under Gossypium barbadense (sea-island cotton). RNAcentral's name for it is "long non-coding RNA (GBAR_LNC020891)". The record is from RNAcentral. Lineage: Eukaryota; Viridiplantae; Streptophyta; Magnoliopsida; Malvales; Malvaceae.
AGGAAUUUGAGCCUAGAGCGUAAGUUGGGACAUCCAUGCCAACUUGAGAGGUUAUUAUUCAUUCAUGUGUGAUUAUUGUUAUCGACUAUCAAUUACUCUAGAACUUGCUUUAGAUCUUAUUCAGGUUAGUAAUACAUUUGAUUUCCAUUAAUAUGAUUUAAGUGGCAAUAGGAAUUAAGCCAUGAUUACUUAUAAAAGCCGAC